AGCUUUAAUAAUCCACGUUGCUUGAUACGGUACGCAAUGUACUUUUAGUUUAGCAUGGUCCAUAGACAGUUGACAGCCUAGUAGUUGACAAAGGUGAAGUGGCGUCAAAGUAGCAUCCGGCGGACGACCACAGGCGUCCCUGCCUUGCUUUUCGAAUGCAUCGGCGCGAACGGUGCGUGCUCUGCCUGUGCAACCUCGGCCGGCAGGAUUCUGAAGAUGUCAAACAACAAGGACGCGCGAGGCGUGGUUCGUGAUAUAUGCAAAUCUUGUGACUGCUUGGAAUUCUAUCGAAACGACUGCGGUGCCCCUCUCAUGCCCGGAUGGUGCGCUUACUGCGGGCAUUUGCCAACGGAGCAUGCCGCGCUUGACCUACUUGGUGAAGGUAAUCCAAAUGCAAGCGGCGUGCAGCCAUCUUUCCGGACUUGCCACAAAUCGGGGGCGGAGCUGGCCCUGAAUCAGGUGUAGCAUCGGCAGACAAGCCCAGCACUGAGUACACCCAGCAAGCCACCGGAAAUUCUACUUCCCAGACAGAAGGGACUACAUCAGCUACCCAGGCUACAAGCAUGCCAACCACGCCAUUUUCAAUUUUCAAGCGCGUCGUAGCCAGUCUUCGCUGUUUUCGUCUUCUUUUGUUUUGUGGUGUAACAUCACCGGAUGUGGCAAAGGGUUUGCCACCUAUUCUUGUCUUCGUACUCCAUGAUACCUACCUGUCCUCGACAUUGCUGUGAUAUGGAGAUUUCUUGUGUUUCGUACACUGGCCCAGUUGAGAAGUAUGAACUGCUAGUCAUUAUGGAGCCGCUCACUUUCGUUUAACUACUAGCGCAACUUGUUGGUCGUAUUUUUCUCCAAUGUUAUUGUUUUAACGGUGACGGGUAUGAACUGCUGGUCAUUGUGGAGCACCUCACUUUUGCUUUAACACAUUUUUGUUUUAACUUUUAACGAGGCUGCUUGGUCUUAUUUUUCUCCAAUGUUAUUAUUUUACUGUUGACAACUAUCAACUCCCGGUGAUUAUGGACCAGCUUACUUUAGUUUAACCGUUUGCACAGCUUCCGGGUGGUAUUUUUCUCCAAUGUUGUUUUACUGUGUGCAAUAUUUGAUUGUCUCAGCCUGUCUUACAUUUAUUGCGUACGGUGCACAUUUCGAGAAGUAAAGUUGUCAUGCAUCUUCU
Ornithodoros turicata is the source of this 1168-nucleotide long non-coding RNA. RefSeq lists it as uncharacterized. The record is from RefSeq and is a predicted model, not a curated record. The transcript is spliced from 4 exons. NCBI's taxonomy places the organism in Eukaryota, Metazoa, Arthropoda, Arachnida, Ixodida, Argasidae.